This 469-nucleotide ribosomal RNA is filed under the name uncultured bacterium. RNAcentral's name for it is "partial 16S ribosomal RNA". It matches the Rfam family "Bacterial small subunit ribosomal RNA", at positions 28 to 507 of the family's 1533-position model. The record is from RNAcentral.
GACGAACGCUGGCGGCGUGCUUAACACAUGCAAGUCGAACGGAAAGGCCCUGCUUGCAGGGUGCUCGAGUGGCGAACGGGUGAGUAACACGUGGGUGAUCUGCCCCUUACUUUGGGAUAAGCCUGGUAAACUGGGUCUAAUACUGGAUAGGACCAUGCUGUAGGUGGUGUGGUGGAAAGAUUAGUUUCGGUUAGGGAUGAGCUCGCGGCCUAUCAGCUUGUUGGUGGGGUAAUGGCCUACCAAGGCGUCGACGGGUAGCCGGCCUGAGAGGGUGGACGGCAACAUUGGGACUGAGAGACGGACCAGAAUACUACGGGAGGAAGCAGUGGGGAAUAUUGGACAAUGGGAGAAAGCCGGAUGCAGCGACGACGCGGGGGGGAUGACGGCCUUCGGGUUGUAAACUACUUACAGCCAUGACGAAGCCCUUGUGGUGACGGUAGUGGUAGAAGAAGCACCGGCUAACUACGUG